RNAcentral lists this ribosomal RNA (597 nucleotides) under Aspergillus flavus. RNAcentral's name for it is "eukaryotic LSU rRNA". The stretch from base 225 to 378 matches the Rfam family "5.8S ribosomal RNA". Lineage: Eukaryota; Fungi; Ascomycota; Eurotiomycetes; Eurotiales; Aspergillaceae. The record is from RNAcentral.
CGUAACAAGGUUUCCGUAGGUGAACCUGCGGAAGGAUCAUUACCGAGUGUAGGGUUCCUAGCGAGCCCAACCUCCCACCCGUGUUUACUGUACCUUAGUUGCUUCGGCGGGCCCGCCAUUCAUGGCCGCCGGGGGCUCUCAGCCCCGGGCCCGCGCCCGCCGGAGACACCACGAACUCUGUCUGAUCUAGUGAAGUCUGAGUUGAUUGUAUCGCAAUCAGUUAAAACUUUCAACAAUGGAUCUCUUGGUUCCGGCAUCGAUGAAGAACGCAGCGAAAUGCGAUAACUAGUGUGAAUUGCAGAAUUCCGUGAAUCAUCGAGUCUUUGAACGCACAUUGCGCCCCCUGGUAUUCCGGGGGGCAUGCCUGUCCGAGCGUCAUUGCUGCCCAUCAAGCACGGCUUGUGUGUUGGGUCGUCGUCCCCUCUCCGGGGGGGACGGGCCCCAAAGGCAGCGGCGGCACCGCGUCCGAUCCUCGAGCGUAUGGGGCUUUGUCACCCGCUCUGUAGGCCCGGCCGGCGCUUGCCGAACGCAAAUCAAUCUUUUCCAGGUUGACCUCGGAUCAGGUAGGGAUACCCGCUGAACUUAAGCAUAUCAAUA